UUUGCAAGCGUCGUUGACGCGUUAAAUAUUCACGAACCAAAUUCGAACGUUCCGAAAGAUAACGAACGCACUUAAUCAAGCGUCGAUUGCCAUUGUCAUAUUACCGCAUUCUAAACGGCUGGUCUUACAUGUGUACUCACCUCCCCAGAAAUUCGCCGUUUUCGACCGCUCGCAUCCACGAAUAAAUUCCGGCCGAUCCCGUGUAAGCCGCUAUAUCUACUUUGAAUCAUCACACCCAUCGAUUUUGGAUGUCGGAAGCUGCCGGCAGGCUCAGCGACCGCGAGCGACGUAAGAUCAAGUUCAAGAUCGAAGAUCAGCGCGAAGGUCGUUAGGAAGAGGCAGCGGGGAAUUCCUCCACGGGAGUAGGCGCUGUCGACUAAUCCGUGCGUAGGAAGGAGCAUCCUUUUCGAGAGGAGGAGAGAAAAAGACCAGCAGGAUUCUGCGUCGCGGUGUACACCGCGCGCCGACGCCAGAAGUGGUCGAACUCAACGGUUAACUGUGUCUUGAUCGUAAAGUCGCCUGACAUGACCGAAACCAGAUUCGAGGACCAUAUGAGUUUCCUUAUUGCCUCCGGGCCAGCACGACGCUUCCACGGAAAUCUCACGGUUGCGCAGCCUGUAGCAACUGCGUAAACGCGCGUAAAUGGCGUUUCGCUAGGGAAAUAUACGCGGAGGAACUCUAAAAGUGUGGUAAAUUCUGUCGAAGGAGAUUUACAGCUCGUAGUUGUGGGAGAUACAAACGCCAUUAGAUGCACGAAUCGGAGGAAAUACAAGCAACCGACAAUAAAUCAAUACAUUUACCUCCUCUCUCGCUCAACCGUCGCCAUUCGAAGGAUCUUGUGGCUGGAGGAGGCUCUCCUUUGAAACCGCAAGAUUUCUCGACUCCUUUGGUCCUGUAGAACUGUCUCUCGCCCUGCAAACAUGAAAGGUAAAUGGAAUAGGAGAGAAUAUAAUG
Harpegnathos saltator (Jerdon's jumping ant) is the source of this 954-nucleotide long non-coding RNA. RefSeq lists it as uncharacterized. The transcript is spliced from 3 exons. NCBI's taxonomy places the organism in Eukaryota, Metazoa, Arthropoda, Insecta, Hymenoptera, Formicidae. The record is from RefSeq and is a predicted model, not a curated record.